This 253-nucleotide ribosomal RNA is filed under the name uncultured bacterium. RNAcentral describes it as "partial 16S ribosomal RNA". It matches the Rfam family "Bacterial small subunit ribosomal RNA", at positions 524 to 776 of the family's 1533-position model. The record is from RNAcentral.
UACGUAGGGUGCAAGCGUUGUCCGGAUUUACUGGGCGUAAAGAGCGCGCAGGCGGUCGUUCAAGUCGAGUGUGAAAGCCCCCGGCUCAACUGGGGAGGGUCAUUCGAUACUGAUCGACUCGAAGGCAGGAGAGGGUAGUGGAAUUCCCGGUGUAGUGGUGAAAUGCGUAGAUAUCGGGAGGAACACCAGUGGCGAAGGCGACUACCUGGCCUGUUCUUGACGCUGAGGCGCGAAAGCUAGGGGAGCAAACGGG